GGGAACUCGGCAAAUUGACACCGUAACUUCGGAAGAAGGUGUGCCCUACUAGUGUGAAGCGAACAGCGGAGCAUGAAAGGGUUGCAAAGAAUCGGUGGCUGCGACUGUUUAUUAAAAACACAGCACUCUGCAAACACGAAAGUGGACGUAUAGGGUGUGACGCCUGCCCGGUGCUGGAAGAUUAAAUGAUGGGGUGCAAGCUCUUGAUUGAAGUCCCAGUAAACGGCGGCCGUAACAAUAACGGUCCUAAGGUAGCGAAAUUCCUUGUCGGGUAAGUUCCGACCUGCACGAAUGGCGUCACGAUGGCCACACUGUCUCCUCCCGAGACUCAGCGAAGUUGAAAUGUUUGUGAUGAUGCAAUCUCCCCGCGGAAAGACGGAAAGACCCCAUGAACCUUUACUGUAGCUUUGUAUUGGACUUUGAACAGAUCUGUGUAGGAUAGGUGGGAGGCUUUGAAGCAGGGUCGCUAGAUCUUGUGGAGCCAACGUUGAAAUACCACCCUGGUGUGUUUGAGGUUCUAACCUAGGUCCAUUAUCUGGAUCGGGGACCGUGCAUGGUAGGCAGUUUGACUGGGGCGGUCUCCUCCCAAAGCGUAACGGAGGAGUUCGAAGGUACGCUAGUUACGGUCGGACAUCGUGACGAUAGUGCAAUGGCAUAAGCGUGCUUAACUGCGAGACUGACAAGUCGAGCAGAUGCGAAAGCAGGACAUAGUGAUCCGGUAGUUCUGUAUGGAAGGGCCAUCGCUCAACGGAUAAAAGGUACUCUGGGGAUAACAGGCUGAUACCGCCCAAGAGUUCAUAUCGACGGCGGUGUUUGGCACCUCGAUGUCGGCUCAUCUCAUCCUGGGGCUGUAGCCGGUCCCAAGGGUAUGGCUGUUCGCCAUUUAAAGAGGUACGUGAGCUGGGUUUAAAACGUCGUGAGACAGUUUGGUCCCUAUCUUCCGUGGGCGCUGCAGAUUUGAGGAAGCCUGCUCCUAGUACGAGAGGACCGGAGUGGACACACCUCUGGUGUAUCGGUUGUCACGCCAGUGGCAUUGCCGAGUAGCUAUGUGUGGAAGAGAUAAACGCUGAAAGCAUCUAAGCGUGAAACUCGUUUCAAGAUGAGAUCUGCCGGGGCCUUGAGCCCCCUGAAGAGUCGUUCGAGACUAGGACGUUGAUAGGCAGGGUGUGGAAGCGCAGUAAUGCGUUAAGCUAACCUGUACUAAUUGCUCGUGUGGCUUGACCCU
This 1225-nucleotide ribosomal RNA is filed under the name metagenome. Its description in RNAcentral is "bacterial LSU rRNA". It matches the Rfam family "Bacterial large subunit ribosomal RNA", at positions 1708 to 2925 of the family's 2925-position model. The record is from RNAcentral.